Molecule: transfer RNA, 61 nt
Filed under: Oxyrrhis marina
Lineage: Eukaryota; Dinophyceae; Oxyrrhinales; Oxyrrhinaceae
Source: RNAcentral
CGUGGCCUAACGGUGAAGACGCUGGGAUAAAAGCUUGGGGUCGUAGGUUCGAGUCCGGUAA